This 491-nucleotide ribosomal RNA is filed under the name uncultured bacterium. Its description in RNAcentral is "partial 16S ribosomal RNA". It matches the Rfam family "Bacterial small subunit ribosomal RNA", at positions 29 to 507 of the family's 1533-position model. The record is from RNAcentral.
GUGAACGCUGGCGGUAGGCCUAACACAUGCAAGUCGAACGGCAGCACAGUAAGAGCUUGCUCUUACGGGUGGCGAGUGGCGGACGGGUGGGGAAUACAUCGGAAUCUACUUUUUCGUGGGGGAUAACGUAGGGAAACUUACGCUAAUACCGCAUACGACCUACGGGUGAAAGCAGGGGAUCUUCGGACCUUGCGCGAUUGAAUGAGCCGAUGUCGGAUUAGCUAGUUGGCGGGGUAAAGGCCCACCAAGGCGACGAUCCGUAGCUGGUCUGAGAGGAUGAUCAGCCACACUGGAACUGAGACACGGUCCAGACUCCUACGGGAGGCAGCAGUGGGGAAUAUUGGACAAUGGGCGCAAGCCUGAUCCAGCCAUACCGCGUGGGUGAAGAAGGCCUUCGGGUUGUAAAGCCCUUUUGUUGGGAAAGAAAAGCAGCAGGUUAAUACCACGCUGUUCUGACGGUACCCAAAGAAUAAGCACCGGCUAACUUCGUG